UAAACUUAGGGAAUAGAUACCCUAUUAUUCCUACCAUUUGAAUUCUAGAGAUUAACAAUGGUCUGUGGCGGCUCUCUUACAAAUUAGAGAUCCAUGGAUCUAAUGGACAGCCCACCUAAAUCUUUCUAUAUUUAGUUAUACAUCUUUUAUAUCGCCGACUGAAAAAAAAAUCAUUAAUUUUUAUUUUGAUAGUUUAGACUUUUAAGUCAGGUAAAGAUGAAGAUUAUAGUAUUGAAAAUUUGUGGAUCAUAAAUUUUCAGGAAUUAACUAGUUGGAAUGCUAUAGAAAUGAAUUUAAAAGUAAAACUACUUAAUUAUAGUAAUUUGAAAAUUGUUAAAGAGAGUGUACAUACCGCCCGUCACUUCCCUAUAGGAAUAAGUCUAAAACAUAGUAA
Molecule: ribosomal RNA, 394 nt
Filed under: Liposcelis bostrychophila
Lineage: Eukaryota; Metazoa; Arthropoda; Insecta; Psocodea; Liposcelididae
Description: partial 12S ribosomal RNA
Source: RNAcentral